This 374-nucleotide ribosomal RNA is filed under the name uncultured organism. RNAcentral's name for it is "partial 16S ribosomal RNA". It matches the Rfam family "Bacterial small subunit ribosomal RNA", at positions 526 to 896 of the family's 1533-position model. The record is from RNAcentral.
GGAGGGGGGCAAACGUUGUUCGGAAUUACUGGGCGUAAAGGGCGCGUAGGCGGAUUAUCAAGUCAGAGGUGAAAGCCCUGGGGCUCAACCUGGGAACUGCCUUUGAAACUGAUAGUCUUGAGUCCCGAGAGAGGAUGGCGGAAUUCCCAGUGUAGAGGUGAAAUUCGUAGAUAUUGGGAAGAACACCAGUGGCGAAGGCGGCCAUCUGGCUCGGUACUGACGCUGAGGCGCGAAAGCGUGGGGAGCAAACAGGAUUAGAUACCCUGGUAGUCCACGCCGUAAACGAUGUGUGCUAGCCGUUGGAAAACCUAGUUUUUCAGUGGCGCAGCUAACGCAUUAAGCACACCGCCUGGGGAGUACGGUCGCAAAGAUUA